AAGUAUCACAGUUACAGAUGCCUGGAAUGCCAGUGACAAUGGGACAGCUAGUGCCAGGAGUGGUACCAAAUAUGCCUCACGGUGCACGCUCUGGAUGUUCUGCAUAUGCUGCCCCACAGGUUACGAGAUGGUUCUGGCUUCUGAGGUGUCAACACGCACCUUCUCAAGAACAUAGAUCUGCAGAAGCAAUGUAUUGGAAGAUCUCCAGUGACAGGAUGGCGAAGUAGAUGCUGAAAAACUGCAGAGACCUAAUGCAGUCUGGAGUCAGGAACCUAUUAUUAGUUGCUUCAUUCAUGUUAAGCUGACCACCAGCAGUAUCAGCAUUAGGAAUCGGAGCUUCCAUUAAACUUUCACAGUUUCUCAAAAGGAAAAUUAAGAUAAAGUCCUUGCAGUGCACCAUGGCAUUCUGAGUGCUGAACUGCUGGAGGAAAAGAGGAUCAACCUGUCAAAGUUCAUGUUUGGAAGAGCUGCUGUGAAUGGAAGCUAUUGUAGAGCUUUUAACCUUCCUGCUUAAUGGGACAACGUGCUUUGAGUGAAUACUUCGAUUUUUAAGUGCACGAUUCGCAGCAAUAAAUAUCUUUUGCAUUUUACUAUAUUUAGAAGCAUGGCUUUUUUUAUCUGUACAUGUAUAAUUCCAGGCAAGUAAAUUUCUGUGUUAAGCUCAAGAGCUUAAUGAAAAGGAAAAGCUUAUGGUCAUAUGUAAUAGGCUGUGUCUUAUAGAUGGGUAGCUUGCUUACACAAAUAAAACAUCAGA
This is a long non-coding RNA of Pygoscelis adeliae (Adelie penguin), 754 nucleotides long. RefSeq lists it as uncharacterized. The transcript is spliced from 5 exons. NCBI's taxonomy places the organism in Eukaryota, Metazoa, Chordata, Aves, Sphenisciformes, Spheniscidae. The record is from RefSeq and is a predicted model, not a curated record.